RNAcentral lists this ribosomal RNA (494 nucleotides) under uncultured bacterium. Its description in RNAcentral is "partial 16S ribosomal RNA". It matches the Rfam family "Bacterial small subunit ribosomal RNA", at positions 28 to 507 of the family's 1533-position model. The record is from RNAcentral.
GACGAACGCUGGCGGCGUGCUUAACACAUGCAAGUCGAACGGUGAAGCGCCUUCCUUUUUGGUGGGUGUGGAUGAGUGGCGAACGGGUGAGUAACACGUGAGUAACCUGCCCCCUUCUUCUGGAUAACCGCAUGAAAGUGUGGCUAAUACGGGAUAUUCUGGGUCUGUCGCAUGAUGGGUCUGGGAAAGAUUUUGUUUCGGUGGGGGAUGGGCGCGCGGUCUAUCAGCUUGUUGGUGGGGUGAUGGCCUACCAAGGCGGUGACGGGUAGCCGGCCUGAGAGGGUCGGCGGUCACGCAGGUACUGAGACACCGCCCAGACUCCGACGGGAGGCAGCAGUGAGGAAUAUUGCACAGUGGGCGCAAUCCUGAUGCAGCGACGCCGCGUGAGGGAUGGAGGCCUUCGGGUUGUGAACCUCUUUCGCCAGUGAAGCAGGCCUGCCUCGUUUGUGGGUGGGUUGACGGUAGCUGGAGAAGAAGCGCCGGCUAACUACGUG